GGGAGCUCCAGCGCAGGCGCACUGGAUGCGGGGUCCUUAAGCUGUCCGCGGUCACGUGAAGGUGUCGCGGCGGCUACGCCCACCUGGACCCAGUUUACCCUGUACUGUGCUGCAAAAUAUUACUUUCUCCCCAUCUGGAAUUCUUCCCUUCCUCCUUCCUGCCGCAGUGGUGUACUGAGCACUUUCACGUAAGAGUAUUCCUCCACUCGAACAACCCCCCGGAGAAGUACUGGUGUCACUGCCACCUGCGAGAGUUUGCGGCUACCUCCCCAAGAGGCAGUCCCAGGGUUAUUGUGACCUAUGAUGUUUAUUCAACUACUGUUGACGGGCUGCUGUGCACAGGGAACCUAGUAGGCAAGACCCCUGCCAUCGUGCAGCUUACUGUCAGGUUGACACAGACCUUAAGAAAGAACAAAAUUUUAAAUAAAUUAAAAACGACACCUGUAAUUUGAGAAGAUGCUUGAUAUCAGAAGAGGAGAAGAGUGGAGAGGGGUGGAGUGGCAAAGGAGAGCCUCCAAACCAAAAGCCUGCGGCAGAGGCCCUAGGAGGCAAGCACUUAACCAUGUUUCAGGACUAGAAACGAAACAUGUGACAAGACCUUUAAAAACAAAUAGAAUGGGAUGGAAUAAAGUUGGAUGAGUAAGCAGGCAUCAAAUCAUUCAGAAACUUGUUGUCCAAGUUGAAGAAUUUGUUUAGUAUUGUAUAAUAAAUGCAGAGGAAGCUAUAUACACUUAUAAUUUACAUUUUUUAAAGGCCACGUUGUAGCUCAAUCGGAUAGUUUGUCUUUUGAUGGGAUGUAGUAUACAGUAUCAUCAUGGUAUAUUCCAGGCAAAAAUAUUUAACUUGAAUCUGUCAAGCCUUUGCAUCUAACACAGUUUAUAAAAAAUACAACAGAUAGAUGAACAAACUAAAUGAUGCCAGAGGAAGUAACUAGACAGAUCCAGAAGGUGAAACAUUCUGCAGGAUAACUGGCCCAUCUCUUCAACAAUUUGUCAUGAUAAAAGCAACUGCUUUAUGAAAAGAAAUUUAAGGGACAUAACAGUUUGAAUUGGAUCCUGGUUUGAACAGACUGUCUAUAAAAUGCAUUUUCAGGACCAUUAAAGAAAUAUGAAUGUAGAUGGACUGAGUAUUGGAUAAAAUAGAACUGUAUUGCCAUGGAAAAGAUCAUUAACUGAAAAGAGCAAGUCACGAAAUAGUAUGUUACAGCAUCUCAUUUUGGUUUAAAAAUGCACAUAUAUGUAUUUAUGUACAACUAAAAAAAUAGUGGGCUUAUACCCUAAGGUGUUAGUAUUGGUAAUCUUUGGAAGUGGAAAUGUGUAUUUUUUUCUUUGUGUUUGCCUAUCUUUUUCAUUGUAACUUUUGCAGCACAUAGACUACUUUCAUUAUAGUAAAAGUUUAUUUUACCACAAUUUUUUUUUUUUUAGAAAGAGUCUCACUCUGUCACCCAGGCUGGAGUGCAGUGGCACAAUCUCAGCCCACUGCAACCUCCACCUCCCAGGUUCAAGCUAUUCUCCUGCCUCAGCCUUCUGAGUAGCUGGGACUACAGGUGCACACCACAUGCCUGGCUAAUUUUUGUAUUUUUAAUAGAGACUGGAUUUCGCGAUGUUGGCCCGGCUGGUCUCGAACUCCUGGCCUCAAGUGAUCCACCCGCUUUAGCCUCCCAAAGUGCUGGGAUUACAGGCGUGAGCCACUGCACCCGGCCUAUUUUACCACAAUUUAUAAAAAUUUUUGUUUAUUUUAAUUAAGCUAUUCUAUGUUAAAAUAAGUAGCCACCCUUGGCUGAUGCAUAAAGAAAAAAUUAGAGGAAGGAAAGAAUGGAGGCAAGGAGGCAAAUCAUGAGACCAUUUCAGAAAUCAAGACGAAAUCAGGAAAGCUAACAUUAGCAAGAGUGAACCAAACUGAUAAUAUCUUUGAGUUUAAAACUGAAGAAUUUACCAAUGAACUGCAUAGGAAAGUAAAGAAAAGAGAGUGGUCAAGAUAGGUCCUGGUUUUGGGGCCUGAACAUCUGAGUGGUUAGUAGAAUCAUUACCAGUUGAUAACCCAUGGAAGAGGGUGGGGGAUGGGUGGUGUCUUGUAGGUUGGUUGACAGGACUGACCCAUUGGGAAGAUAACGAAGAAGCAAAGUAUAUGAAAAGAGGAGAAAGGGUAACCAGAGGAGGGAGGAUACAAAGGGAGUGAUUAGCCAUCAGAAAGAUGAGGGACAUGACAUUUGUUGAGGCAGAUGGCGGAGAAAAGAAAGUUAACAUAGAUGUGGUUAGUUUUGUGGCAUUGACCAAAGGAAGAUUAAGGUGAUACUAUCUGAUGGCUUGGAAUGAAAACCAAACUCCCUGCCACAACAUGAUGAUCUUUCUCUGCAACUUCAUAUUUUGCCUCUUGUUCCUCAUUUGUUACCACUGAGUCACAAUGGUCUUUUUAGUUUCUCAAACACACCAAGAUCUUUCUUGCCUCAUGUGACCUAGAAUGUUUUCUCCCUUUCUUCAUAUCUCAGUUGAAAGGUCUCCUCUCCUCAUCAUCAUACUAUCUAAAGUAGAUUCCCUCCCUUGUUAACCUCUAGCGCAGCCAUUAGUUCCUUCAUAACACUUACCCUAACUUGCAAGUAUUUUGUUUGUUGAUAUAAUUUUUAUCUGACUUCCCCACUAAAAUGUAAGCUCCAUGAGGGCAAAAAUUGUGUGUUUUGUAUACUGAUGCAUCUCUAGCACUUGGUAUAGCAGGCAUUCAAUAAAUAUCAUUAAAUAAGUUUCA
Molecule: long non-coding RNA, 2742 nt
Filed under: Homo sapiens (human)
Lineage: Eukaryota; Metazoa; Chordata; Mammalia; Primates; Hominidae
Description: HSALNT0311055
Source: RNAcentral